This 184-nucleotide non-coding RNA is filed under the name Gloeothece citriformis PCC 7424. RNAcentral describes it as "Cyanothece sp. PCC 7424 6S / SsrS RNA". It matches the Rfam family "6S / SsrS RNA". From Rfam's summary of the family: E. coli 6S RNA was the first non coding RNA to be sequenced, but its function was unknown until recently. The record is from Rfam by way of RNAcentral. Lineage: Bacteria; Bacillati; Cyanobacteriota; Cyanophyceae; Chroococcales; Aphanothecaceae.
UUUAGACUGCUGCGUUGGUGACUGCCGAACAUAGUUUGAUGAUCUAUGCUUGUGGUAAAAGGGAAUAAGCGACUUUGUGUGGUAGUAGACCGAGCUUGUACUCGGAAACGGAAACGCGAAGGGCAAUUACCCACCUGGUUUUUCCAGGUCACAAACUGAGGUAAAACGGCGUAGCGGUUGCCCU